RNAcentral lists this ribosomal RNA (760 nucleotides) under uncultured Actinomycetes bacterium. Its description in RNAcentral is "bacterial SSU rRNA". It matches the Rfam family "Bacterial small subunit ribosomal RNA", at positions 577 to 1333 of the family's 1533-position model. Lineage: Bacteria; Bacillati; Actinomycetota; Actinomycetes. The record is from RNAcentral.
GGUUGAUCGCGUCGGAAGUGUAAUCUUGGGGCUUAACCCUGAGCGUGCUUUCGAUACGGGUUGACUUGAGGAAGGUAGGGGAGAAUGGAAUUCCUGGUGGAGCGGUGGAAUGCGCAGAUAUCAGGAGGAACACCAGUGGCGAAGGCGGUUCUCUGGGCCUUUCCUGACGCUGAGGAGCGAAAGCGUGGGGAGCGAACAGGCUUAGAUACCCUGGUAGUCCACGCUGUAAACGGUGGGUACUAGGUGUGGGGUCCAUUCCACGGGUUCCGCGCCGUAGCUAACGCUUUAAGUACCCCGCCUGGGGAGUACGGCCGCAAGGCUAAAACUCAAAGGAAUUGACGGGGCCCCGCACAAGCGGCGGAGCAUGCGGAUUAAUUCGAUGCAACGCGUAGAACCUUACCUGGGUUUGACAUGGAUCGGGAGUGCUCAGAGAUGGGUGUGCCUCUUUUGGGGUCGGUUCACAGGUGGUGCAUGGCUGUCGUCAGCUCGUGUCGUGAGAUGUUGGGUUAAGUCCCGCAACGAGCGCAACCCUUGUUCACUGUUGCCAGCACGUUAUGGUGGGGACUCAGUGGAGACCGCCGGGGUCAACUCGGAGGAAGGUGGGGAUGACGUCAAGUCAUCAUGCCCCUUAUGUCCAGGGCUUCACGCAUGCUACAAUGGCUGGUACAGAGAGUGGCGAGCCUGUGAGGGUGAGCGAAUCUCGGAAAGCCGGUCUCAGUUCGGAUUGGGGUCUGCAACUCGACCUCAUGAAGUCGGAGUC